AGGCCGGGUGUGUAAGCGCAGCGAUGCGGUGAGCUAACCGGUACUAAUGAACCGUGAGGCUUAACCUGACAACGCCGAAG
RNAcentral lists this ribosomal RNA (80 nucleotides) under Salmonella enterica subsp. enterica serovar Schwarzengrund. RNAcentral describes it as "partial 23S ribosomal RNA". Lineage: Bacteria; Pseudomonadati; Pseudomonadota; Gammaproteobacteria; Enterobacterales; Enterobacteriaceae. The record is from RNAcentral.